GAUGAACGCUGGCGGCGUGCCUAAUACAUGCGAGUCGAGCGAACGGACGAGAAGCUUGCUUCUCGGAUGUUAGCGGCGGACGGGUGAGUAACACGUGGAUAACCUACCUAUAAGACUGGGAUAACUUCGGGAAAGGGGAGCUAAUACCGGAUGAUAUUUUGAACCGCAGGGGGCAAAGGUGAAAGACGGCCUUGCUGUCAGGAAUAGAUGGAUCCGCGCUGCAUGAGCUAGUUGGUAAGGUAACGGCCUACCAAGGCAACUAGGCAUAGCCGACCUGACAGAGUGAUAGGCCACACUGGAACUGAGACACGGUCCAUACUCCUACGAGACGCAGCAGUAGCGUAUCUUCCGCAGUAGGCGAGAACAUGACGCAGCAACGCCGCGUGAGUGAUGACGGUCUUCCGAUCGUAAUACUCUGUUAUUAGGUAAGAACAUAUGUGUACGUAGCUGUGCACAUCUUGACGGUAAUUAAUCAGAAAGCCACGGCUAACUACGUG
Molecule: ribosomal RNA, 497 nt
Filed under: uncultured bacterium
Lineage: Bacteria
Description: partial 16S ribosomal RNA
Rfam family: Bacterial small subunit ribosomal RNA
Source: RNAcentral